Molecule: unclassified non-coding RNA, 180 nt
Organism: Chelonoidis abingdonii (Abingdon island giant tortoise)
Lineage: Eukaryota; Metazoa; Chordata; Testudines; Testudinidae
Source: Ensembl
AAGACAUUUUUAAGGCCAUGUAGUGCGUCCUCUAUCCAUUGGACAUUUACAGAUCAGGAAGCAGAAGUGCAGGUUUCCCCAAAUUGGCCAGCCAAUGUACUUCAACCCUGACCUGAAGGAUCCACCUCUGUGGAGCAGGGAGAUAGUUCAGUCUCUCUGCUCAAUCUGUACUUGGUCUCU